GAAAAAUAUGAGACGGGGAAUCAUCGUGUGAUGUGUGUGCUGCCUUUGGCUGAGUGUGUGGAGUCCUGCUCAGGUGUUGGGUACAGUGUGUUUGAUCAUGGUGGCUUGAGGGGAACCUGCUGUUCAGAGCUGUGACUGUGGCUGCACUCAGAGAAGCUGCCCUUGGCUGCUGGUAGCGCUGGGCCUUCUCUCCUCCUCAUCAUCCAGAGCAGCCAGUGUCCGGGAGGCAGAAGGUACCGGGGCAGCUACUGGAGGACUGUGCGGGCCUGCCUGGGCUGCCCCCUCCGCCGUGGGGCCCUGUUGCUGCUAUCCAGCUAUUUCUACUACUCCCUCCCAAAUGCGGUCAGCGUGCCCUUCACUUGGAUGCUUGCCCUCCUGGGCCUCUCGCAGGCACUGAACAUCCUCCUGGGCCUCAAGGGACUGGCCCCAGCUGAGAUCUCUGCAGUCUGUGAAAAAGGGAAUUUCAACGUGGCCCAUGGGCUGGCAUGGUCAUAUUACAUCGGAUAUCUGCGGCUGAUCCUGCCAGGGAUCCAGGCCCGGAUUCGAACUUACAAUCAGCAUUACAACAACCUGCUAUGGGGUGCAGUGAGCCAGCGGCUGUAUAUUCUCCUCCCAUUGGACUGUGGGGUGCCUGAUAACCUGAGUAUGGCUGAUCCCAACAUUCGCUUCCUGGAUAAACUGCCCCAGCAGACCGCUGACCGUGCUGGCAUCAAGGAUCGGGUUUACAGCAACAGCAUCUAUGAACUUCUGGAGAACGGGCAGCGGGCAGGCACCUGUGUCCUGGAGUACGCCACCCCCUUGCAGACUUUGUUUGCCAUGUCACAAU
RNAcentral lists this small RNA (826 nucleotides) under Pongo abelii (Sumatran orangutan). Its description in RNAcentral is "processed transcript". Lineage: Eukaryota; Metazoa; Chordata; Mammalia; Primates; Hominidae. The record is from RNAcentral.